RNAcentral lists this ribosomal RNA (358 nucleotides) under uncultured eukaryote. Its description in RNAcentral is "partial 18S ribosomal RNA". It matches the Rfam family "Eukaryotic small subunit ribosomal RNA", at positions 1470 to 1796 of the family's 1831-position model. The record is from RNAcentral.
CCCUUAGAUGUUCUGGGCCGCACGCGCGCUACACUGAUGCAUUCAACGAGUCUAAAACCUGGUCUGAUAGGGCUGGGUAAUCUUUUGAAUGUGCAUCGUGAUUGGGAUAGAUGAUUGCAAUUCUUCAUCUUCAACGAGGAAUGCCUAGUAAACGCAAGUCAUCAGCUUGCAUUGAUUACGUCCCUGCCCUUUGUACACACCGCCCGUCGCUCCUACCGAUGAAUGAAUCGGUGAGAAUUUGGGAGAGCUGAAGAGAGGAUUUGGGUUGGAAACGGCCUAGAUCUGAAACGUGUCGAGAGAUGCGGGAGCUACAAACUUGUUCAAACCUGUUCAUUUAGAGGAAGGAGAAGUCGUAACA